RNAcentral lists this ribosomal RNA (253 nucleotides) under uncultured bacterium. RNAcentral describes it as "partial 16S ribosomal RNA". It matches the Rfam family "Bacterial small subunit ribosomal RNA", at positions 524 to 776 of the family's 1533-position model. The record is from RNAcentral.
UACGUAGGUGGCAAGCGUUGUCCGGAAUUAUUGGGUUUAAAGGGUGCGUAGGUGGCCUGUUAAGUCAGGGGUGAAAGACGGUAGCUCAACUAUCGCAGUGCCCUUGAUACUGAUGGGCUUGAAUGAACUAGAGGUAGGCGGAAUGUGACAAGUAGCGGUGAAAUGCAUAGAUAUGUCACAGAACACCAAUUGCGAAGGCAGCUUACUAUGGUUUUAUUGACACUGAGGCACGAAAGCGUGGGGAUCAAACAGG